GGAUAACCUGCCCUGCGGUGGGAAAUAACUCCGGGAAACUGGGGAUAAUGUCCCAUAGGCUACGGAUGCUGGAAUGCCCUGUAGCUCAAAGAUUUAUCGCCACAGGAUGGGUCUGCGGCCGAUUAGGUAGUUGUUGGGGUAACGGCCCAACAAGCCUUUGAUCGGUACGGGUUGUGGGAGCAAGAGCCCGGAGAUGGAUUCUGAGACACGAAUCCAGGCCCUACGGGGUGCAGCAGGCGCGAAAACUUUACAAUGCUGGCAACAGCGAUAAGGGGACCUCGAGUGCCAGGAUACAAUCUUGGCUGUCGUAAUGCCUAAAAAGCAUUUCAUAGCAAGGGCCGGGCAAGACCGGUGCCAGCCGCCGCGGUAACACCGGCGGCUCGAGUGGUAACCGCUAUUAUUGGGUCUAAAGGGUCUGUAGCCGGCCGGAUAAGUCUUUUGGGAAAUCCAGCAGCUCAACUGUUGGGCUUUCAGAAGAUACUGUUCGGCUCGAGGCCGGGAGAGGUGAGAGGUACUACAGGGGUAGGAGUGAAAUCUUGUAAUCCCUGUGGGACCACCUGUGGCGAAGGCGCCUUACCAGAACGGGUUCGACGGUGAGGGACGAAAGCUGGGGGCACGAACCGGAUUAGAUACCCGGGUAGUCCCAGCCGUAAACGAUGCUCGCUAGGUGUCAGGCAUGGCGCGACCGUGUCUGGUGCCGCAGGGAAGCCGUGAAGCGAGCCACCUGGGAAGUACGGCCGCAAGGCUGAAACUUAA
Molecule: ribosomal RNA, 756 nt
Filed under: uncultured archaeon
Lineage: Archaea
Description: bacterial SSU rRNA
Rfam family: Archaeal small subunit ribosomal RNA
Source: RNAcentral